This 500-nucleotide ribosomal RNA is filed under the name uncultured bacterium. RNAcentral's name for it is "partial 16S ribosomal RNA". It matches the Rfam family "Bacterial small subunit ribosomal RNA", at positions 30 to 523 of the family's 1533-position model. The record is from RNAcentral.
AUUGAACGCUGGCGGCAUGCCUUACACAUGCAAGUCGAACGGCAGCGCGGGAGCAAUCCUGGCGGCGAGUGGCGAACGGGUGAGUAAUAUAUCGGAACGUGCCCUAGAGUGGGGGAUAACUAGUCGAAAGAUUAGCUAAUACCGCAUACGAUCUACGGAUGAAAGGGGGGGAUCGCAAGACCUCAUGCUCGUGGAGCGGCCGAUAUCUGAUUAGCUAGUUGGUAGGGUAAAAGCCUACCAAGGCCACGAUCAGUAGCGGGUCUGAGAGGACGACCAGCCACACUAGGACUGAGACACGGCCCAGACUCCCACGGGAGGCAGCAGUGGGGAAUUUUGGACAAUGGGGGAAACCCUGAUCCAGCAAUGCCGCGUGUGUGAAGAAGGCCUUCGGGUUGUAAAGCACUUUUGUCCGGAACGAAACGGGCCGAGCUAAUAUCUUGGCCUAAUGACGGUACCGGAAGAAUAAGCACCGGCUAACUACGUGCCAGCCGCCGCAGUAA